This 425-nucleotide ribosomal RNA is filed under the name uncultured bacterium. Its description in RNAcentral is "partial 16S ribosomal RNA". It matches the Rfam family "Bacterial small subunit ribosomal RNA", at positions 354 to 796 of the family's 1533-position model. The record is from RNAcentral.
GUUAGGAAUAUUGGACAAUGGGCGCAAGCCUGAUCCAGCCAUGCCGCGUGAGUGAUGAAGGCCUUCGGGUUGUAAAGCUCUUUAGUCCACGAAUAUAAUGACUGUAGUGGAAGAAUAAGCCCCGGCUAACUUCGUGCCAGCAGCCGCGGUAAUACGAAGGGGGCGAGCGUUAUUCGGAAUCACUGGGCGUAAAGCGUGCGUAGGCUGUUUUGUAAGUCAGAAGUGAAAGCCCAGGGCUUAACCCUGGAAUUGCUUUUGAAACUACAAGACUCGAAUUCGGGAGAGAAUAGCGGAAUUGUCAGUGUAGCAGUGAAAAGCGUAGAUAUUGACAGGAACACCAGUGGCGCAAGCGGCUAUCGGGACCGAUAUUGACGCUGAGGCACGAAAGCGUGGGGAGCAAACAGGAUUAGAAACCCCGGUAGUCC